UGCGCAGGCGGUUUUGUAAGCCAGAUGUGAAAGCCCCGGGCUUAACCUGGGAAUGGCAUUUGGGACUGCAAGGCUUGAGUGCGGCAGAGGAGACUGGAAUUCCUGGUGUAGCAGUGAAAUGCGUAGAUAUCAGGAGGAAUACCGAUGGCGAAGGCAGGUCUCUGGGCUGACACUGACGCUCAUGCACGAAAGCGUGGGGAGCAAAACA
RNAcentral lists this ribosomal RNA (208 nucleotides) under uncultured bacterium. RNAcentral describes it as "partial 16S ribosomal RNA". It matches the Rfam family "Bacterial small subunit ribosomal RNA", at positions 568 to 775 of the family's 1533-position model. The record is from RNAcentral.